This 277-nucleotide long non-coding RNA is filed under the name Gossypium barbadense (sea-island cotton). RNAcentral describes it as "long non-coding RNA (GBAR_LNC012408)". The record is from RNAcentral. Lineage: Eukaryota; Viridiplantae; Streptophyta; Magnoliopsida; Malvales; Malvaceae.
UAGUAAAUCAAUAUAGAUUUAUAGUAAUAGUAAAUAAUAAGAAUAAGUAAUACAACGAUUUCGAACUCUAUUUAGAAUCAAACCACCGUACGGUAUUUUCUUUAAGUAUCUUGUAGGAUACUGUUGUUCCAGCCACAUUUCUCUUUUCGCUCUACUAGUAAUUUAAUUGGAGCUUGAACCUGAGUUUCGGUGAGGUUGAAUCCACUUUUUUCGUUCUACCUUCCUUAUUUAUUUUAUCUAAUUCUUAUCUAAUUCUAAAAAAAAAACUAAAAAAAAA